Molecule: ribosomal RNA, 444 nt
Filed under: uncultured bacterium
Lineage: Bacteria
Description: partial 16S ribosomal RNA
Rfam family: Bacterial small subunit ribosomal RNA
Source: RNAcentral
GUAGGGAAUAUUGGGCAAUGGUCGGAAGACUGACCCAGCCAUGCCGCGUGCAGGAAGACGGCCCUCUGGGUUGUAAACUGCUUUUAUCUGGGACGAAAAAGGCCAUGCGUGGCAAAUUGCCGGUACCAGAUGAAUAAGCACCGGCUAACUCCGUGCCAGCAGCCGCGGUAAUAUGGAGGGUGCGAGCGUUGUCCGGAUUUAUUGGGUUUAAAGGGUGCGUAGGCGGCUGAUUAAGUCAGCGGUGAAAGACUUCGGCUUAACCGGAGCAGUGCCGUUGAUACUGGUUGGCUUGAGUGUCGGAGGGGUACAUGGAAUUGAUGGUGUAGCGGUGAAAUGCAUAGAUACCAUCAGGAACACCGAUAGCGAAGGCAUUGUACUGGCCGACAACUGACGCUGAUGCACGAAAGUGUGGGGAUCGAACAGGAUUAGAUACCCGAGUAGUCC